GAUGAACGCUGGCGGCGUGCCUAAUACAUGCAAGUCGAGCGAACAGAUGAGGAGCUUGCUCCUCUGACGUUAGCGGCGGACGGGUGAGUAACACGUGGAUAACCUACCUAUAAGACUGGGAUAACUUCGGGAAACCGGAGCUAAUACCGGAUAAUAUAUUGAACCGCAUGGUUCAAUAGUGAAAGACGGUUUUGCUGUCACUUAUAGAUGGAUCCGCGCCGCAUUAGCUAGUUGGUAAGGUAACGGCUUACCAAGGCAACGAUGCGUAGCCGACCUGAGAGGGUGAUCGGCCACACUGGAACUGAGACACGCUCCAGACUCCUACGGGAGGCAGCAGUAGGGAAUCUUCCGCAAUGGGCGAAAGCCUGACGGAGCAACGCCGCGUGAGUGAUGAAGGUCUUCGGAUCGUAAAACUCUGUUAUUAGGGAAGAACAAAUGUGUAAGUAACUAUGCACGUCUUGACGGUACCUAAUCGGAAAGCCACGGCUAACUACGUG
This 497-nucleotide ribosomal RNA is filed under the name uncultured bacterium. Its description in RNAcentral is "partial 16S ribosomal RNA". It matches the Rfam family "Bacterial small subunit ribosomal RNA", at positions 28 to 507 of the family's 1533-position model. The record is from RNAcentral.